Molecule: transfer RNA, 87 nt
Filed under: Clostridia bacterium
Lineage: Bacteria; Bacillati; Bacillota; Clostridia
Also listed under: 1 other name
Description: tRNA-Leu
Rfam family: tRNA
About the family: Transfer RNA (tRNA) molecules are approximately 80 nucleotides in length. Their secondary structure includes four short double-helical elements and three loops (D, anti-codon, and T loops).
Source: RNAcentral
GCACCUGUGGCGGAAUUGGCAGACGCGCUAGAUUCAGGUUCUAGUCGGGGCAACUCGGUGCAGGUUCAAGUCCUGUCAGGUGCACCA